CAAAAAACGCAGGUGGUGGUGCAAACAUCUCUAUCUCUUGGGGAGACAACCAGCAAUUGUCUUAUCAAUGACUCUAUCUUUGGCUUUCCCACAAGCUUUUUUAACUUCUCUUAUUGGCUUGCAGGGGGUAAUUUCUUCACUGUUUUGUACUUCAACACAUUCCUUUGCUUCCAUCUUUUUAGUUCUUUUACCUUAAUUUUACCCAUAUUGUUUUCUCUCCC
RNAcentral lists this small RNA (221 nucleotides) under Vigna angularis var. angularis. Its description in RNAcentral is "Non-protein coding transcript". Lineage: Eukaryota; Viridiplantae; Streptophyta; Magnoliopsida; Fabales; Fabaceae. The record is from RNAcentral.